UUUAAUUAUUUGCAUAUUUGAUGUUAGUAUAACCCCCCAAUGUUCAAUGCUUUAAUCCUAAUCAUUCUAAUAAUUUCGAAGGUACAUAUUCCAUAUAUAGCACAUGACGAUGGGUCCAUGAAAGAUUUAAGUCCUGCAAAAGAUAUAUAUUGGCUCUCAGGUUGGUCCUGGAAAUGCCCAUCGAGCAGGUGUCAUUGUCCCAAAAAAUAGUGAACGGAGAUCAGCACCGAGCCCCACAGUUUAGUCCAGCCCUUUUGAUUACUGAUCCAAUCCCCAAACCCUGCAAGUUCUCACUGCGUUUGAAGUUUAAACACCACUAAAAAGACAAGAGAAAGAAGAAAGAAUGUUAAAAGCCAGAUGUUGUUACUGCGUGCCUUACUCUUUUAGAUUUUGCAGGAAGUGAAGAAGCUGGGUGUAGUUGUUCUUUUAGGAUUUCUUUUGCCCAUCAGUGAUCGAUCCAAGAACAACGAGGACCACCGAAUUGGACACAGAGAAGCGGUGUUCACGGGCUAAAUAAAGAGAGAGCGAAAGGGGUAGGCAGAACUCGUUCCAAGAACUUUUC
RNAcentral lists this long non-coding RNA (562 nucleotides) under Musa acuminata (dwarf banana). Its description in RNAcentral is "long non-coding RNA (MACU_LNC006965)". The record is from RNAcentral. Lineage: Eukaryota; Viridiplantae; Streptophyta; Magnoliopsida; Zingiberales; Musaceae.